CAAUAUUCACAGAAGUGUAAAUUGGAAGGUACUUCAUCAGAUCACCUGAUGCAGUCACCUGCUCAUGGUCAUGUGUUGUAAUGCCUUCUUUUUAUAGAUAAGGAAACCAACACCCAGGAAGUUUAGCUCCUGCCAGAGACCCUUUUCAGGCAAUAUUCUUAGCGAUUUCUAGUUCUCCCUGAGAGUCACAGUCUGACUUAAAGCUUACAAAUGAAUAUCUCCCGUAGGAAAACUAUGGAGUGCCCUAAUUAGAGCAUUUGCUAGUAGUGAUUCCCUGCUUACUAUUCUAGCUUCCAUAAGCUCCCAAUACCUUUGGCCGGGCUCCCAAUACCUUUGGCGGGGCUCUCAGAUCCGUUGACUCAGAAGCUCUCUCUUUCCUUUGUUAGCAUCUGCCAGUCCAGCUCUUAGCAAACGAAAAGAAAUGAAGAGAAAGGAGUGACCUGGCUGGCUUCAUGGCCCAGGCCAGUGGCUGGAGUGGAGGGAUGGGGAGGUGGGGCCAGGAGGGGUGGGAAUAUUGAGGUCCAGAAGCGUUUUAAUGAGGACCAACUGGGUGCCCAGUUGUGUUAAGCUCUGUAGGGAAUUGGGAGGUAGAAAGCUGAUUGUCUUAUUGGAGCUGGGAGACUUAUUUGCAAAAAAUUAUUGGUGGCCAGCCAGACACAGAGUUUAGUGGGGCAGUAGUAAUUGCUAACGGAGCUCCUUACGGAAUAAGUCAGGGCAAUUUUGUGUGCAGGAAACCUGUGCCCUCCUCCCCAAGGAUUCAGCAUCCCACCUGCCUGGGCUCAGCUUUUGAACCUCCUGAGACUUUCCCAGGGGGUUGCUCCCGACCACGAUACCCGGGGCAGAGCCUUUCUCUCUUCAGCUCCUCCGCAUGCUUGGCAGGGGGUCAAGGAUGCUCUGGGUUUCAAGAUCUCUGUCCUUGUGACCCUUCUGGGGAAGCCUGCUUUUCCUAGAAGGGUUCCGGGAAUAAGGAAGCAGGACUGCCAUUCUUUGGGAACAUUUCUUAGGCUCUUUUCUGCCUUUUCUUUUUGGAGAGUGCUAGACUAACCCACAAUAGGACAAAACUGGAAUGCUAUAAAUGCUAAAUGCCGGCACGGUAGCUGUCAGAUGUUUUUCCCGAAGCCCCUUGGUGGUCGUUUCACCUUUCUCCCCUGCCUUCUCCUGGCCAUGCACCGGGGACACUCCUGCUCAUCAAGAGAACCCACCUGCACCUGCCCUGCUCUCUCAGUCCUGGGUCUGAUCCUACCUCCAUGUUGGACACACCAAGGAAACGAUGGUUCUGGUGACAGAGUCCCAUCGCAGCCCACGUGGGAAUGUGCUGUCCCAGCUACUGACUCAGCCUCCCUGGAUUUCGCUCCGCACUUGCCAAAUUAGAAGUCUGGGUGAAGUGGUCUCUAUGGGCUUUUCUUUGUCAGAAUGGCUAACUCAAACCUCCUGUGCCUCUUGAGACAUCUGCCUCACAACUUCCAGUCUGGAUAGCGCAGAGCCAAGCGUUGGACGCGACGGGAGCAUGAACUGAACCAUGGGCUGUUAAGGAGCUGCUGCUUGAGUUGGGCCUUGACUGAUGAAGACGUAUGGCUAUAGGAUAAAGGCAAAUGUGCAGAAGAACUUUGUUGCUGUCAAGCAUGCUCCUGGAGAUUUGGUUUUUAGUAGAAAUUUUCUUGAAAAUGAAUGGAGUGAGCCUGAAGCUUCAAGGAAAACAAUCUGAUGGUGCUGCUGCUGCUGCUAUCUGAAGUUUCAAGUGACCAUGAGGAUCCACCGUCAGCUGGCAGCUUUCUACCAGGACUACUACAUCUAAACCAGACCACCUCCGACCCCCCAGAUGUUCAGGAGUGGAGACCCAGCAGCUCAGAAGGCAGCAAUGGAUAGUGGUGUAGAGUGGAGGUUCUAAAGUCAGACUGUGUGGUAUCAGGCGGUUUAUUGAUUCUUUGCCUUGAGCUUAUCACAUAACUAGUAAGCUACCAGGUUGGGAGCUGGACCUACGUCUGGCUUCAUGCCUGAGCUUUCAACUACUUUACUAAAUGGAGAGGAGCUUGCGUGAGUAAAUGAUGUGAUGCAUGAAGGCUUGUGCUUCUGUUAAAGAAGAUGAACAUAUAAUUCACUUAUUCCAUAAGUAUUUAUUUUUAAAUAUAUCCAUUUGAUGA
Molecule: long non-coding RNA, 2141 nt
Organism: Nycticebus coucang (slow loris)
Lineage: Eukaryota; Metazoa; Chordata; Mammalia; Primates; Lorisidae
Exons: 6
Source: RefSeq, a predicted model, not a curated record